AGAGUUUGAUCCUGGCUCAGGACGAACGCUGGCGGCGUGCCUAAUACAUGCAAGUCGAACGAGAGCGACCGGUGCUUGCACUGGUCAAUCUAGUGGCGAACGGGUGAGUAACACGUGGGUAACCUGCCCAUCAGAGGGGGAUAACAUUCGGAAACGGAUGCUAAAACCGCAUAGGUCCUUUAACCGCAUGGUUGAAGGAGGAAAAGAGGCGCAAGCUUCUGCUGAUGGAUGGACCCGCGGUGCAUUAGCUAGUUGGUGAGGUAACGGCUCACCAAGGCCGUGAUGCAUAGCCGACCUGAGAGGGUGAUCGGCCACAUUGGGACUGAGACACGGCCCAAACUCCUACGGGAGGCAGCAGUAGGGAAUCUUCCGCAAUGGACGCAAGUCUGACGGAGCAACGCCGCGUGAGUGAGGAAGGUUUUCGGAUCGUAAAACUCUGUUGUUAGAGAAGAACAAGUGCUAGAGUAACUGUUAGCGCCUUGACGGUAUCUAACCAGAAAGCCACGGCUAACUACGUGCCAGCAGCCGCGGUAAUACGUAGGUGGCAAGCGUUGUCCGGAUUUAUUGGGCGUAAAGCGAGCGCAGGCGGUUCCUUAAGUCUGAUGUGAAAGCCCCCGGCUCAACCGGGGAGGGUCAUUGGAAACUGGGGAACUUGAGUGCAGAAGAGGAGAGUGGAAUUCCAUGUGUAGCGGUGAAAUGCGUAGAUAUAUGGAGGAACACCAGUGGCGAAGGCGACUCUCUGGUCUGUAACUGACGCUGAGGCUCGAAAGCGUGGGUAGCAAACAGGAUUAGAUACCCUGGUAGUCCACGCCGUAAACGAUGA
This 823-nucleotide ribosomal RNA is filed under the name uncultured bacterium. RNAcentral describes it as "bacterial SSU rRNA". It matches the Rfam family "Bacterial small subunit ribosomal RNA", at positions 8 to 812 of the family's 1533-position model. The record is from RNAcentral.